This 239-nucleotide long non-coding RNA is filed under the name Homo sapiens (human). RNAcentral's name for it is "HSALNT0191829". The record is from RNAcentral. Lineage: Eukaryota; Metazoa; Chordata; Mammalia; Primates; Hominidae.
UUGGAUAAAGAUAUUUAAGAUGUUUUUCUAUGCAAUGUUUAUAGUGGGCUGUCUUUUGAAAGACCAAUAGUCAUAGCCUUAAGGAGACCACUGUUGCUGAAAAGCCUUGUUUAUUGUGAGGAGGAGGGGAGAAACUGGGGUGAGAAACGUUGCUACCUGUUGCAGCAGCUACCUGAUCACCCAAGAGAUUUGCAUAAUUUCUUCCUCCCACUAUAUCCCAUUCCAGCAGCCAAUAUCUU